ACACGACGACAGAGAUUGUCCCGUGCCGUCGGCCCGAGGCGGUGCCGUACUCCUCGCGGGCACGGACCAGCGGCGGUCGAGCCGGAGCCAGAAGGAGGCAGCGGAAGGUGAGUCGACGUGGGCCUGUCCCGCAUCGACAGCUUACAGCCCUGUCGUUCGGUGCUCCGGUUCGACCGAGGAAACAGGGCAGCCCUUGCUCGUCGUGGUACACGCCGUACGGCGGGGCCUCCCGACACGAGUAAACCGUGCGGUGCGGACUGCAUGCAGUGCGGAUCGUGGCGGCGAUCUAGUGCCGGAGAGUGCCACCCGUGUGCCAGUGCCGCUGGUAUUCAGAC
RNAcentral lists this unclassified non-coding RNA (335 nucleotides) under Luffariella caliculata. RNAcentral's name for it is "sequence contains 28S rRNA gene". Lineage: Eukaryota; Metazoa; Porifera; Demospongiae; Dictyoceratida; Thorectidae. RNAcentral also lists the same sequence under 2 other names. The record is from RNAcentral.